AUGUUUCAUUUUCCCCUUCAACUCAAUUCCCUCUUUCACUGCGUCCUUUCUCUAAUUCAUCUCUCUAACUCCUUUUUUCUCUAAAUGUUUCAUAUUCCCCUUCAACUGUGUCCUUUUUCUAAUUCAUCUCUCUAAGGGCACCUUUCUCUCUAAACCUUUUUUUUCUCUCUCUAAUCAUGUCCACUCUUUUUUUUUUUGACAAAUGUUCCAUAACAUUAUUAAGAAAAAAGGAUUACAACGAGAUUAAAUAAUAAUAUCAUCCGAAAUAGUUAAAUAUUGCAAAGACACACCUCAUCUUACCAAAGAAUCUGCCACUUCAUUACCCCAGACAUUUAAAUUGCGGAUCAUCACUAUAAUCUCCAUCCAUUCCGGUCUUAACUUUCACGUUGUUCUCGGUUUGUGAGUGCACUAAUUAAAUACAUUCAAAGAGUUACACUCAAUCACACAAG
This 449-nucleotide long non-coding RNA is filed under the name Amborella trichopoda. Its description in RNAcentral is "long non-coding RNA (ATRI_LNC004223)". The record is from RNAcentral. Lineage: Eukaryota; Viridiplantae; Streptophyta; Magnoliopsida; Amborellales; Amborellaceae.